Callithrix jacchus (white-tufted-ear marmoset) is the source of this 1635-nucleotide long non-coding RNA. The record is from Ensembl. Lineage: Eukaryota; Metazoa; Chordata; Mammalia; Primates; Cebidae.
UGGAAUUACAGGCGUGAGCCACCGUGUCUGGACCCCAAAAGCAGUUUUUGCUAAAGCAAAACAAACUUCCUUGAUUCAGACGAUCAACUCUACCAUAUUCAUCCGUUAUUCUCACCUAUCGUCAAACAUUUCACAAAAGCUGUGGUAUAGACCAUCAGCUUAACGCAGUAUGUAAUCAGAUAGAUAAGUUAACACACACAUAAGGAGAAAAGUCGUUCUCACACGAGGUCUUCCAUGCAAUGUAGAAAUUCUUUAGCUUUCUCAGGUAAAAAAUAUUGCUGAGAACAGAAAGUUCUGGAAGGCAGUUCAUAGAGCCCUCAGGCCGAUCAUUACUUGGAUAGCAAUUUUCUCAGGUGUGGAUAAUUAGCUGUAGCUGAAAAGGCAAAAGUAUGUCCCCCAGCAAGCAGGAACAAACCUAGCAUUCGUCUUAAUUUGCAAAAGGUUUCUAAUAGCAGCAUUUUUAAUUGCCAGACCAAAUAUCUAGCAGCUGCCACCAGCCCAGGUCCUGAGGCUGGAAUGCAGCCUGACUAUUAAUUUACUGAAAGCCUGGCAAAACAAAGUUGUAUGCUGGUUUCUCCAGAAAAGUCUCCUCUUUCAAUAACAGAUCUUCCUCGGGCUUCCUAACCUCUUCCCAGGGUCUCAGUGAAGACAGAAGAAACAAAAGCGUCACUGUGGAUCCCAUCACAGCAUUGUCGAGAGACCUAUCACUGCCUGCCACCAGAGAGCCAAAGCUUCAUCUUGUCAAAAGCUCAAAAGCCCUGGGAUUUUCCAUUCUUCCUAUCUGUCAUUGUGAAGACACGCACACACUCAUUAUGUUGCAAGCAAUUUGUCAACAUUAUUAUUGACAAUGUAAACUGAUCAAACUUCUACGACAGACAUCUUGGAAAGAAGAAAAUGAUCGGGCAUUGUGGUCCAAACUGAUACUGUUCCAAAAAAACCAAACAGUUUUUAAUGACCUGGAACGUUGCAGACUGUGAAGCAAGUCAUUACUGCCUGUGAGGCAGAGCUGGACGUAGAAAUGGCAGUGCUCAAAAGAAGAGAUGUUUAUCUAUUUCAUUGUUCUAGGCAAAACAAUCUGCAUAAUUGAAUUUGCUGUUACCCCAGGUUUGUGACAGCACUAUAUGUAGAAAUAAAGGAGGUGUCUCCUAUAGACGGAUUUAUUCAUGAAAACAUAAAAAAAAGUUCGUUACAAAUCAAUGUACUGUUUAGAUUUCCAGUGCCUGAAAUUCUACUAUUAUAGUCAAUCCUUAUAGUCUUUUUUUUUUUUUUUUUUUUUUGAGACGGAGUUUUGCUCCUGUUACCCAGGCUGGAGUGCAAUGAUGUGAUCUCUGCUCACCACAACCUCCGCCUCCUGGGUUCAGGCAAUUUCCCUGCCUCAGCCUCCCAAGUAGCUGGGAUUACAGGCAUGCGCCACCGUGUCUGGCCCUAUAGCCAAUCCUUAUAGUCUUUUUUUACCAGAAACUAACCAACUGAUCAACAACUUGAUAGGGUUUUAAAAAAUGAAAUGAAGUCCUUUUGUGACUUGGGAAAGAACAGAAUGGAGGAGGUAUGAGAAAGGAGUUACAGAUGUUAGAAGAUGGCGAAAGAUGGGGUGAUUUCAGUUUAGGGUCAACAGCCUCCAGUCAGUAAAUGGAG